UUCUUCAGAAAAAUUAAUUAAAAAGAUUAAUUAACUAGAAGGAAUUCAGCAAAUUUAAUUGCUCCGCCUGUUUAUCAAARACAUGGCUCUUUGCUUAAUAAAUAUAAAGAGUCGAGCCUGCCCAGUGAAUCUUUCAACGGCCGCGGUACUCUGACCGUGCAAAGGUAGCGUAAUCAUUUGCCUUAUAAUUGAAGGCUAGUAUGAAUGGUUUGACGAGAGCAAUACUGUCUCCUUUUUAUUUUCAAGAACUUAACUUUUAGGUGAAGAGGCCUAAAUUUUAUUGAAGGACAAGAAGACCCUGUCGAGCUUARAAGAAAUUAUAGAAGUUUAAUAUAUCUUUAGAUAAAUUUCCUAUUAAGCUUUUUAGUUGGGGCGACUGAGGAACAAAAAAAGCUUCUUUCUAAUAAUAMACAAUCACGUUUAGAUCCGAUAGUAGCGAUUAAAGGAAUUAGUUACCGCAGGGAUAACAGCAUAAUCUCUCUUAAGAGACCUAAUCGAAAGAGGGGGUUGUGACCUCGAUGUUGGACUAGAAUAUCCUAAAGAUGC
This 546-nucleotide ribosomal RNA is filed under the name Koreoleptoxis resinacea. RNAcentral describes it as "partial large subunit ribosomal RNA". It matches the Rfam family "Bacterial large subunit ribosomal RNA", at positions 1732 to 2556 of the family's 2925-position model. Lineage: Eukaryota; Metazoa; Mollusca; Gastropoda; Pleuroceridae. The record is from RNAcentral.